RNAcentral lists this ribosomal RNA (497 nucleotides) under uncultured bacterium. RNAcentral describes it as "partial 16S ribosomal RNA". It matches the Rfam family "Bacterial small subunit ribosomal RNA", at positions 28 to 507 of the family's 1533-position model. The record is from RNAcentral.
GAUGAACGCUGGCGGCGUGCCUAAUACAUGCAAGUCGAGCGAACAGACGAGGAGCUUGCUCCUCUGACGUUAGCGGCGGACGGGUGAGUAACACGUGGAUAACCUACCUAUAAGACUGGGAUAACUUCGGGAAACCGGAGCUAAUACCGGAUAAUAUAUUGAACCGCAUGGUUCAAUAGUGAAAGACGGUUUUGCUGUCACUUAUAGAUGGAUCCGCGCCGCAUUAGCUAGUUGGUAAGGUAACGGCUUACCAAGGCGACGAUGCGUAGCCGACCUGAGAGGGUGAUCGGCCACACUGGAACUGAGACACGGUCCAGACUCCUACGGGAGGCAGCAGUAGGGAAUCUUCCGCAAUGGGCGAAAGCCUGACGGAGCAACGCCGCGUGAGUGAUGAAGGUCUUCGGAUCGUAAAACUCUGUUAUUAGGGAAGAAUAAAUGUGUAAGUAACUAUGCACGUCUUGACGGUACCUAAUCAGAAAGCCACGGCUAACUACGUG